AAGUGAGUUGGUUUUAGGGCACUGGGUGGUGAAGUCAUCUCGGGCAGGAAAACUGGUGUUUCAGUAAGCGUGGGCCAGGCUGCGUCCACCCACAGAAACUGGCCCGUCUCCCUCCAUGGCUGUGGUGAAAUCCCCUGAAUCAUCACUAAUCACCGCCUGGGCUGACGAUGUUCCUGGGCUGCUGGGCAGAGCGGCUGAUGGUUGCCGGGAAGCUGGCAGAGCUGAUCUGGAGGGACACGCCGGGAGCAAGUGACUGAACGUGUCCGGAUGGCACGAGAGGAGAGGUCUCCAGUGGGGAUGGACAACAGGAGAGCUGUAGGACCAUGCAGAUGCACGGGUGGGCUGUCUUCAGCAAAGGGCAUUGGGACACCAUCGCUGCUGUAACAGCCUUCAAGCUGGGACUUGUCUGGGGAGAGAUGGCUCCAGAGAUACCCAUGGGAUUGUGCAUGAGAAGAGGAUUGCAAUGGAUGGGAGCGCUCAUGGCCCCGGAGUUCCAGCACUUCUCUGUGGGAGAGUGAUGGCUUUUUUUUUUUUCUUUUUAUAAGUCAAUGUUUUAAGGCAAAACACUGCUGAGUGUCUUGAGGAUGAUCUUUCCCCGGAGCUGGAAUAAUUGCCUUCCUACCUUCCCUCUGCCUCUGGGAUGCCCCUCCUGCCUGGCCAAGGGGACCUGCUGCUGCUAGCACCGCUUCCUCUCCUUCAUCUGGUGGGUGGCACGGGGUGCUCUCUGUUCCCACAGAGGAAUGGCUGGUGGGGUCCCAGCACUGUCCCAAACCUUGCACAUACCUAGAGGGCGGAAAGGACCAUGAGGAACUGACAGAUUGGCUGUUUCCCACUGCUGAAAACCUCAGGAGAGGCUUGAGGAUUUCUUACAGUUGUUCAGGAGGCCUGAGGAGAGCAGAGGUGGGAGUGCAAGACCAUGCAUGCAUGGACGUGUGUGAAACCGCCACAGUGCACCCAGCCAUCCCCGGUGCUUGGCUUCAGUGUCCCCUGGGUGCUAUGGCCAGCUCCUCAUUCUGCCCCAUGUCUCAGGAGAAUGUUCCCCAGCUCAUGCCAGCUCUUACAGCACCCCAGAAGGUCCAACCUCCACUUUCUCCACUCAAACUGUCACAGAGCCCUAUCCCAGCAGCAGGAGGAAUAAAGGAUCAGCGCUCGAGCAGUAUUGAUGAGGAAUGACACCAAGCGGUGGGUCACCUGGAGCCCCCGGAGAGGUGGAAGACAGCAGAUGGCCAGUGUGUCUUUCCCAAAUACUUUUAUAUGAUGAAUACCGAAGCCAGCAAUCACACGUCUUUGUAUUUAGCCAACAUGUCCUUUCAGCCAUUGCUUUCCUGGGGCACCUGUGCACUGUCCUCUCUUGCAAUCAUUUCCAUUUUGCUCAUCACUGACAUGGCCAUGUUGAGAUUUUUGAUACAACUUAGUUCAAGAGUGAAGUUUCCACCAAGAGCAACUUAUCUGGUGAGACACCAGCUUGUAUAGGGUUUGUUUAAAUACCCAGCUGAUGUGCAUUUCAGCUCAGUUUACUCACUUUCACUUAAAGCCAACUCUGAGCAGGGACCACCAAAAAUCAUGUAUUAGAUUACCUAAAAGAGAUUUGGAAUAAACACAUCAAGAAGAUAUGGAGAAACAGUGGAAUACAUUUAUAAACCCAAGCGCUAUUUGAGGCUGAAUGGGCAUGGCAACAGUUAUUAAAAAGACUCAUGAAACUAGGAAGGUAAAACAAUUUUUAAGAUUCUAAGAAAUAUUUUCCAGUGGGUACCAGCGAGGGGGGAAACACUUUGUUGUUUGCCGGCACUCUUAGUCCCAUGACACUUUCAAACACAAACAUCCACCAUUAAGCCUUUAUUAAUCCUCCCUUCUGAUUUUUAAUGCAGGUCAUUUAGCAUUACUUAAUACUGAGCUUAAGGGGAAAACCUCAUAAGCCAACCACUAAUCUCUGAAUUUGGCACAUAACUCUCCCUUUGCUGUUUCUCAACAUGUUCUUUCUUGUCCUUCCACCCCACUGAGAACCACCCCAGAGUGCCGGCAGCGGUGAUUGCGGCCGGCGGCAGCGAGCCGGCCGCAGUGGCCAGCCUGUGCUUACACCAGCCGAGCGGCUGCACUUUCCAAAUGACCUGUUGCUGGACAUAUUUUGGAAUCUGGAAAUGAGCCUCUUGGAGAAGGUAACCUGUGGUGAAGGUAACCUGGCUGUUAUCAAGCCACACUGAGACUGUGGGAUCCUUGGAAAAUAAGAAGAACAAAAGAAAGACAGACAUAUAUUUAAUUUAAGCAACAGUACUUAUGCUCGGCAUGAAGCAUGCAGCUAAAGCAUAUUUUAGAAGCAGCUGAAAGCCUGACAGUAUUUUCUUUCCUUUGCAAGGCAGAAAAGACCUCUGCUACCACCCCAUUGGGGAGGUAUGUGAUACUAACCAGGAGAGGGAAACCUCCAAGGCUGGGCUUUGGGGGCAUCAACAAUGGAGAAGCCCCAGACUCUGGCUUGCAAAUGAGAACAGGAUCGCUUCUUCAGCUUACACCAGUCAGUGCUAACUGUAUUUUGUAUUUGUAUGCUGUUGCUUUUAGCAAGCAUCAUGCAGGCUUUUAGCCAACUCUUGGAGAUUGUCCUUAGCCCCAUUUUGCAGUCUGGAGGAAGCAGCUUUGCUGAGGCUGGGGAAAGGGUGGCCAAGGCAGCUCUUGGACACAGUCCUCUGCCUUCUUGCUCACCCUCUUCAGAGCUGAGGGUUAACCUUGGCACUCUUCUUCUCUGGAUGAAAUAUACAAAAAAAAUAAAUCACGGUUUGAAAUGCA
Molecule: long non-coding RNA, 2778 nt
Organism: Columba livia (rock pigeon)
Lineage: Eukaryota; Metazoa; Chordata; Aves; Columbiformes; Columbidae
Exons: 2
Source: RefSeq, a predicted model, not a curated record